GCAUCAUGGCGGCUGGCCGGGCCCAGGUCCCUUCCUCCCUUCGUCUCAGUACAGGACCUCAAGACUCACCAGCGUCUCCCAUGCUGCAGCCACCUGUCCUGGAGCAGUAGUGCAUACCAGGCCUGGGCCCAAGAGGCUGGACCAAAUGGGAACCCCCUGCCCCGAGAGCAGCUGUUACUUUUAGGGACACUAACAGACCUAUCGGCGGACUUGGAACAAGAGUGCAGGAAUGGAAGCCUCUAUGUGAGAGAUAACACUGGCGUCCUGAGCUGUGAGCUCAUAGACCUGGACCUUUCUUGGUUGGGCCAUCUUUUUCUGUUCCCCUGUUGGAGUUACCUCCCUCCUGCCAGGUGGAAUUCCUCAGGGGAAGGGCACUUGGAGCUGUGGGAUGCCCCUGUGCCAGUGUUUCCUUUGACCGUCAGUCCUGGCCCUGUCACGCCUAUCCCUGUCCUCUACCCAGAGAGUGCUUCCCGCCUGCUCAGGCUCAGAAACAAGCUCAGAGGUGUGCAGCGAAACCUGGCUGGGAAUCUAGUUCGAUUGAGUGCUCUGGUGAAAAGUAAACAGAAGGCCUACUUCAUCCUGUCUCUUGGUAGAUCACACCCAGCUGUGACCCACGUGUCUGUCAUCGUGCAGGUCCCUGCCCAGCUGGUGUGGCACAGAGUCCUUCGGCCUGGUACGGCCUAUGUGCUCACAGAAUUGCGAGUGUCCAAGAUCCGUGGUCAGCGCCAGCAUG
This 733-nucleotide small RNA is filed under the name Pongo abelii (Sumatran orangutan). RNAcentral describes it as "processed transcript". The record is from RNAcentral. Lineage: Eukaryota; Metazoa; Chordata; Mammalia; Primates; Hominidae.